This 460-nucleotide ribosomal RNA is filed under the name uncultured bacterium. RNAcentral's name for it is "partial 16S ribosomal RNA". It matches the Rfam family "Bacterial small subunit ribosomal RNA", at positions 338 to 795 of the family's 1533-position model. The record is from RNAcentral.
CCUACGGGCGGCAGCAGUGAGGAAUAUUGGUCAAUGGACGAGAGUCUGAACCAGCCAAGUAGCGUGAAGGAUGACUGCCCUAUGGGCUGUAAACUUCUUUUGUCAGGGAGCAAUUGAGUCCACGUGUGGGCUUAGCGAGUGUACCUGAAGAAAAAGCAUCGGCUAACUCCGUGCCAGCAGCCGCGGUAAUACGGAGGAUGCGAGCGUUCUUCGGAUUGAUUGGGUUUAAAGGGUGCGUUGGCGGAAGAUCAAGUCAGCGGUAAAAAUUCGGGGCUCAACCCCGUCGUGCCGUUGAAACUGAUGUUCUUGAGUGGGCGAGAGGUAUGCGGAAUGCGUGGUGUAGCGGUGAAAUGCAUAGAUAUCACGCAGAACUCCGAUGGCGAAGGCGGCAUACCGGCGCCCAACUGACGCUGAAGCACGAAAGCGUGGGUAGCGAACAGGAUUAGAUACCCGGGUAGUC